Molecule: non-coding RNA, 252 nt
Organism: Vicia faba (fava bean)
Lineage: Eukaryota; Viridiplantae; Streptophyta; Magnoliopsida; Fabales; Fabaceae
Source: the annotation of a GenBank genome assembly
AUGGUGCAAGUCAGGAUCCAAGUUAACGGCUACUCCGAGACUCUCAGGUCUUUUGUAUGGACUGGGAGUUCUGAUAAUAGUAGGAAAAAUCCUAUCUCUUGGAAACAGUUUGCAGCCCGAAAGCUUGGAGGCGUGAACAUAAUUGAUCUCAGUACAUGGAACAAUAUAUGCAUGAUGAAGAUCUUGUGGAAUCGGAAAACUGAUAAAUUUUGGCAUGCAGGAGUUCUGGAACCACAUGGUGCAGGCUCCUAA